RNAcentral lists this transfer RNA (67 nucleotides) under Opilo sinensis. RNAcentral's name for it is "tRNA-Asn". The record is from RNAcentral. RNAcentral also lists the same sequence under 1 other name. Lineage: Eukaryota; Metazoa; Arthropoda; Insecta; Coleoptera; Cleridae.
UUAAUUGAAACCAAAAAGAGGUGUAUCACUGUUAAUGAUAAUAAUGAAUUUUUUAAUUCCAGUUAAA